This is a long non-coding RNA of Episyrphus balteatus (marmalade hoverfly), 849 nucleotides long. RefSeq lists it as uncharacterized. NCBI's taxonomy places the organism in Eukaryota, Metazoa, Arthropoda, Insecta, Diptera, Syrphidae. The record is from RefSeq and is a predicted model, not a curated record. The transcript has 2 exons.
ACAAAUAAAAAUUAUUAAAUAAGCUAAUCCCUUAAAAGAUCUUUAUAAUAUUGCUUUUUAUUUAUAAAACAAACUCAAAUCCUGAGUUACAUUUAACCUUCUACUCCUUGUAAAUAUCCCUAGCUUGAAUUCAUUGUUAAGAACUAAAUACAUAGUUUGAAAUUCGCCUUUGUUUGAAUUCUCCUUUAGUUUUAUCUACAGUCUACACGACUUCAUGUUUUAAUUCCAUGCUUUCUAGUAUAGGUGUAACUCAACUAAAAUCAGUGUGCACAGUCUUCAAAGUUAAAUAUUUAAUAGGACUUUGAAGUCUUGAUAAAUGAACUUCCAGUCCAGAGGGGCGUUCAUGUUUAACAAUACUAAUUGUGCUUCUAUAUCUAACAAAGGAACAAUACAAUUGUUGAACGGAAAAUUAUAUUCCAUAGGCAAAUAUGAAUUUACCAUAUUCUCCUCAUCAUAAAAGCACUAACCAUCGACAAUAUUAUGAAUUUUGUAUGAAUAUUCAUUGUAGGAUUUCUUUUCUGGGAAAUUUAAUGGGAAUAAUAUUUAUGUAGGUGUAUUCAAUCUUUUAAAAAAAAACUUUUCUUAAAAAUUUGAUACCUGUAUUGUAUAGUAGGUACCUACAUGUUCUCAGUAAUAGUAUUAUGAAGCUCCCAAAUUAAAUCCAUUUAUUUUUAGAAGUACUUGAAUACAUAUUUAAAUGCACCACAAAGGAAUAAAUUUAAAUUGGAGAGAAUAUGAAAUCCAUUAAAAAUUUCAUAAAAUAUAUUAAACAAGGGUAUAUUUAGACUAACGAUUAUAUUUGAUGUGUUUUAUUGCCUGACAAAGUUUUUCAUUAACAAGAAUUUUUUU